AGAGAGGGUACGUGGUGAACAGGUUGCGCAUAUCUCGGUGCUGCUCCUCUGCCCUCGCUGCCAUGGCGCUCGCGCUGUCUCUCUCUCUCAUAUGGGUGUGAGCUUCAUCUCUCUGAGUGAAAGAGAAGGGAGCGAUGGUGAUGAAGGUGCGGCCGCCUCCGCCGCCUCCUUCGCUUCGUUCGGUUGCUUCUGCUGCAGGGGUAAUGGUGGAGGAGGAGGCGAAGAAGAGGAGCGGGAGAGGGGAGGUGGACAGUUCUGUCCCGUUCCGCUCGGUGAAGGAGGCCGUCGAACGGUUUGGCGGCGGGAGUUCCGCCGCGUGGAGGCCGCAUUCCUGCCCCUCGCUUCUACUUUCUCCCGAGGAUGUUGAGCUUAUGAAAAUAGAAGAACAAACUGUGAAAUUGGAGAUGGAUCUUUUUCUUAAGGAAAGAGAAACACUUAGUGUGCUAAAAGAACUGGAAAUGGCUAAAAAGAAGGCAGAUGGUUUAAAAUUACGACUACAUAUGGAAGCCAGUAAAGCCAUUGAAGAAACUGAUAGAUGCUCAGAUAAAAUGAUGAUGCCUUCUAGUUUAAAUCAGCAACAGAAGUGUUUCAUCUAUUAUGGAAAUCAUAGAGAAUUCAAAGAUCAAAUUUUUUAUCAGGAACAAACCAAACAAACCCCUUGUUCGACAUUAAGGGAAUUGAACCAAGCUAAGUUGUACCUGAAGACUACAAGCGGUUUAGUUGGGUGUCAAAAUUCAGUUGAACUUCUAAGAAGUGCAAUAGAGAAGGAGAAAAAGUUGCUUAAGGAAACCUGUGAAAGGCUCAACUCAAAGACUGUUCAAGUCUCAUGCUUGGAGAAAGAAAUAAGCCUAACAUUAGAUCAAACAAAUCUAAUUAAAGGCACAAAAAGGCGAGAUUAUAGAAGUUCUUCCGAUGUAUUGAGUUGUAUGAAAGAGCUAAGAUCUGACACAGAGAAGUUCAAAAGAAUUGCUGCAGCUGCUAAAACUGAAAUGUCCAAGUUAUCUCUUGAUAUCCAACAGGCUAAGUCUGGUAUCAAGGCUGCCGAGCUGAGGUUUGCCGCAGCUAAAAAAGUGGAAGCUGCAGCCAGGAAUGCAGAGGCUACAACUCUUUCCAAAGUCAAAUCGUUAACAGAUGGUGAAAAAACAGAUGCUGAGUCGCGAACUGCAUCUGGAGUUACGAUUGCUGUUGACAAGUAUGACAUGCUGAUCAAAAGAGCCCAAGGUGCUGAUCAAACUCUGAGAAAGAGAAUGGAAGCUGCUAUGAAUAAUCUGAAAGGAGCACAGGAGUCUAAACUGGAGUUACUCAAAAAGUUGGAAGAAGCGAAUGCAGAUGUUGAAACAAGUAGGAAAGCCUUACAUGAGGCCCUAAAGAAGGGUGAAGAUGCAAAUCAAGGUAGGCUUGCAAUUGAAGAAGCACUUAGGAAAUGGAAGCUCCACAAUGAUAGGACUCGUCGAUCAAAUCUAACCAACACCAAAUUCAAGAACUCGGCAGCCCCUCAUCAAAGGCGCUCAUGGAUACUUGAUGUGAAUGGAAUAAGCUUGAUUUCUGCAGGACCAAGUCAUAGAAGAGAUGCCCCCUCUCUUUCGAUUGGGCAGAUCCUCAGCAGAAAGCUCAAUGGUUCUGAAGAGCAUGAAUCACAAGCACUUCAGAUCGUGAAUGGAAGACCUAAGGUUUCGCUACGCCAAAUGCUGAGCAGAAAGGAUGACUUUUUGUCCCCUAGAAUGAUCACUGAUGGAGCACAAAAACCAUGUUUAACAACGAGGAAGAAGUUCAGUGUCUUAGUACUUUCGCUUUUCUUGGCGAAGCAAAAGAAGCAGCACCAGAAGCAGUCUAUGGGUUCACCAGCUAUCUUCCGCGGCAAGAAUAUCUUGCGAUAAGGACAUGAGAAGCAUCCACCAGAUGGCCUUUUCACACAAGGCAAAAAGGAGGAAAAGAGGAGAAGAAACAGCAGUCAACAGCUGCAGGCCAUCUCUAAGCACAGAAGAAGAUGAAACACCAGUUUUCUUCCUCCGAACAACACACUGCAAGAUCUAGGAUCAGGAUCAGGCUCAUGAGACAGAACUAGUGGACAGCACAUGUAUUCAAGCGAGAAUGAGGUAAAUGAAUCAUCUACUGGCUGGAAAAGUGCUUCCGCUGAGGCACUCCUUAGCUCUCCAUUGCACAAUUCCUGCAUGAGAGCAGAAAACCAACUUCAAUAAGCAAAAGUCAUUGUUUCCCUGACUAGAAAUUAUAUUACCUGGAGUGUUUUACCGAUUGUAA
Zingiber officinale is the source of this 2259-nucleotide RNA transcript. It is a transcript of the gene named WEB family protein At2g38370-like, with no coding region annotated. The record is from RefSeq and is a predicted model, not a curated record. Lineage: Eukaryota; Viridiplantae; Streptophyta; Magnoliopsida; Zingiberales; Zingiberaceae. The transcript has 4 exons.